Molecule: transfer RNA, 73 nt
Filed under: Actinomycetes bacterium
Lineage: Bacteria; Bacillati; Actinomycetota; Actinomycetes
Description: Actinobacteria bacterium tRNA-Arg
Rfam family: tRNA
About the family: Transfer RNA (tRNA) molecules are approximately 80 nucleotides in length. Their secondary structure includes four short double-helical elements and three loops (D, anti-codon, and T loops). Further hydrogen bonds mediate the characteristic L-shaped molecular structure. tRNAs have two regions of fundamental functional importance: the anti-codon, which is responsible for specific mRNA codon recognition, and the 3' end, to which the tRNAs corresponding amino acid is attached (by aminoacyl-tRNA synthetases). tRNAs cope with the degeneracy of the genetic code in two manners: having more than one tRNA (with a specific anti-codon) for a particular amino acid; and 'wobble' base-pairing, i.e. permitting non-standard base-pairing at the 3rd anti-codon position.
Source: RNAcentral
GCGCCCGUAGCUCAACGGAGAGAGCACCCGGUUUCUACCCGGUCGGUUGGGGGUUCGAAUCCCUCCGGGCGCA